This 495-nucleotide ribosomal RNA is filed under the name Gonyosoma frenatum. Its description in RNAcentral is "partial 12S ribosomal RNA". The record is from RNAcentral. Lineage: Eukaryota; Metazoa; Chordata; Lepidosauria; Squamata; Colubridae.
GCCUAACUAUAACACAACAAUUAAACCACCAAUUGUUCGCCAAAUAACUACGAGUAAAAACUUAAAAUUUAAAAGACUUGACGGUAUCUCACAACAGCCUAGAGGAGCCUGUCCAAUAACCGAUACCCCGCGAUUAACCCAACCCCCUCUAGCCUAACAGUCUAUAUACCGCCGUCGCCAGCCUACCUUAUGAAAGAAACAAAGUGAGCAAAAUAGUCAUUACUAACACGACAGGUCGAGGUGUAACUCAUGAAGGGGUUAAGAUGGGCUACAUUUUCUAACACAGAAAAUACGAACUAACUAUGAAAUAAGAAACCGAAGGCGGAUUUAGCAGUAUAAUAAGGACAAAACACUUAAUCGAAACUAACGCAAUGAGAUGCGUACACACCGCCCGUCAUCCCUGUUAAAUAACCAAUUACAUCCAUAAACACAACCACUUCCACAAAGCAGGGCAAGUCGUAACAUGGUAAGCGUACUGGAAAGUGCGCUUAGAAA